GUUGGGCUUGGUGGCACAUGCCUGUAGUCCCAGCUACUCGGGAGGCUGAGGUGGGAGGAUCACUUGAGCCCAGGAGUUCUGGGUUGUAGUGCACUAUGCCAAUCGGGUGUCCACACUAAGUUCGGCAUCAAUACGGUGACCUCCCGGGAGCAGGGAACCGUCAGGUUGCCUAAGGAGGGGUGAACCGGCCCAGGUCAGAAAUGGAGCAGGUCAAAACUCCUGUGCUGAUCAGUAGUGGGAUUGCGCCUGUGAAAAACCACUGCACUCCAACCUGGGCAACAUAGCGAGACCCCAUCUCU
RNAcentral lists this signal recognition particle RNA (299 nucleotides) under Aotus nancymaae (Ma's night monkey). Its description in RNAcentral is "Metazoan signal recognition particle RNA (ENSANAG00000008020.1)". It matches the Rfam family "Metazoan signal recognition particle RNA". Rfam says of the family: The signal recognition particle (SRP) is a universally conserved ribonucleoprotein. The record is from RNAcentral. Lineage: Eukaryota; Metazoa; Chordata; Mammalia; Primates; Aotidae.